Molecule: unclassified non-coding RNA, 456 nt
Filed under: Hevea brasiliensis (rubber tree)
Lineage: Eukaryota; Viridiplantae; Streptophyta; Magnoliopsida; Malpighiales; Euphorbiaceae
Source: RNAcentral
UCUAGUUUUCUUAUGUCACUUUUUUCAUGUGAUCCGUAUAAAUAAAUGCAUCUAAUUUUAUUACAUACUCAACUUAGCUCAAGUAAGCUAUAAUCCCGAACUAAUUGAGAUUGGCAAUAUGUAUAUUUUUCCUCCUUUCUUCCUAGUCAAGGCUAUAUAUAUCUUUAGAAAGAUUUACAGUCAUUAAAUCCUCUUUCGCCACUUCACCCUAUGACACCCUAGGUCUGCCCCUUGUUACCUUUUCUGAAUCUUCCUUCUCUGAAAUUUUCUUUAAUGGAUGCCGCUUCCAUUUUCUUGUGAAUGUGUGAUUACAUAAUAAAAUCUUGAUAUUUGCCUAGUUUUAAUCUGUCAUAGAUUUAUUAUAGUUGUCCUCAAAUAAUUAUGAUAUAUGUUUCUGUGGAAGUUUGCCUCUCAUUUGACGUGUCUAUUGCUAGAUCAUGGCUAUUGGAACCCUAG